Molecule: transfer RNA, 102 nt
Filed under: Marasmius sp. AFHP31
Lineage: Eukaryota; Fungi; Basidiomycota; Agaricomycetes; Agaricales; Marasmiaceae
Description: tRNA-Met
Rfam family: tRNA
About the family: Transfer RNA (tRNA) molecules are approximately 80 nucleotides in length. Their secondary structure includes four short double-helical elements and three loops (D, anti-codon, and T loops).
Source: RNAcentral
GCUUCCUUGGCUCAGUUGGCUAGAGCGCAGGUCUCAUACCAGAGUAUGAAGCUUUCGAAAGCUGCAAUCCUGAGGUCGCAAGUUCGAGCCUUGCAGGGAGCA